UACGAAGGGUGCAAGCGUUACUCGGAAGUUACUGGGCGUAAAGCGUGCGUAGGUGGUUUGUUAAGUCUGAUUGUGAAGCCCCGGCUCAACCUGGGAAUGGCAAUGGAUACUGGCAAGGCUAGAGUGCGGUAGAGGGUAGUGGGAAUUCCCGGUGUAGCGGUGAAAUGCGUAGAAGAUCGGGAGGAACACCAGUGGCGAAAGGCGGC
RNAcentral lists this ribosomal RNA (206 nucleotides) under uncultured bacterium. RNAcentral's name for it is "partial 16S ribosomal RNA". It matches the Rfam family "Bacterial small subunit ribosomal RNA", at positions 524 to 725 of the family's 1533-position model. The record is from RNAcentral.